This 1814-nucleotide unclassified non-coding RNA is filed under the name uncultured fungus. RNAcentral's name for it is "sequence contains 18S rRNA gene, ITS1, 5.8S rRNA gene, ITS2, 28S rRNA gene". The stretch from base 745 to 1814 matches the Rfam family "Eukaryotic large subunit ribosomal RNA", at positions 1 to 961 of the family's 3401-position model. Lineage: Eukaryota; Fungi. The record is from RNAcentral.
GGAAGGAUCAUUAACACGUAUCCAACGUUAAACAACCCCGUGAACCUUCAGCCUGCUCUCGUAGCCCACGCGGCAACAGCAAUCCCGGUAAAUCAUUGACGACCAGUUUUGAUUCGGGACCUCUGUUACGAUGUGAGAAGUUACAGUUACGAUCGAGCGGUAGAGUCAGUGGCAUGGCGUCCCCAAGCAGAAUCCAGAGAAUGAAAGGAUCACUGGCUGCGCAAGGAUAACGCCUCACGGUUGCUAGAGGUCGAUCACCGACCGGCAGACAUGUCACAGGGUCCCCAUGCCCCUUACCUCACCCCACUACCAAUGACUAGCUUAGCGGUAACGCGCUGAGUAAAAAAAACCGAACAACUGUUAACAAUGGAUAUCUUGGUUCUCGCAACGAUGAAGAACGCAGCGAAAUGCGAUACGUAAUGCGAAUUGCAGAAUUCAGUGAAUCAUCGAAUCUUUGAACGCAAAUUGCGCUCUCGGGUUACCCCCAAGAGCACACCUCUCUGAGUGUCGGUUUAACCAAAUGUCACCAAUUUAUUGGUGUACGACAGACUGAGGGUAAGGGGCUUCGGCUUCUUUCCCUUUAAAUCUCAGCCUCACGACUGUGUGUGUUCGUGGCAAGUUGCUUUCACUUAACUGUGAAUCCAAUCCGCGAACCCUAUGUUGGGAAGCCAAAAGAAACAAAUGAACAAAGGAGUGAGCUUGAGGCGCAAGUUUCGAGUGAGCGACUUUGGACAUCUAUGAAUUAGACCUCAGAUGAAGUGGGAAGACCCCCUGAAUUUAAGCAUAUUAUUAAGGGGAGGAAAAGAAACUAACAAGGAUUCCCCUAGUAACGGCGAGUGAAGCGGGAAGAGCUCAAAUUUAAAAUCCGCUGGUCUAACAGCCGGUGGAGUUGUAAUCUAGAGAGGCUCUCUCAGUGCCAGCCUGGUUAUAAGUCCCUUGAAACGGGGCAUCAAAGAGGGUGAGAAUCCCGUAUUUGAGCCGGAGCUAAGUACGUACGAGGAGCUUUCCAAGAGUCGCGUUGCUUGGGAGUGCAGCGCUAAAUGGGUGGUAAAGUUCAUCUAAAGCUAAAUACUGGCGAGAGACCGAUAGCGAACAAGUACCGUGAGGGAAAGAUGAAAAGAACUUUGAAAAGAGAGUUAAAAAGUACUUGAAAUUGUUAACAGGGAAGGGGAGUAAACCAGUCAUUUCUAAGCUUCAUUCGCUUUUCUUUCGGGAGGAGUUACUUGAGGCUGAGAAGAGUCAGCAUCACUUAGGGUCUUCGCAGAAAUUGUGUGAGUUGGUGCGUUUCUUCGGAUUCGUUUAAUUCAUGCAACCUACGUUGGCGCUGGGUGAGGAGUGAUAACCCCCCGCCUUCGGGUGUCGGUGCUCUGAGGUCUGUUUGCCCUAGCGCGUGAGAGAACAAAGUUCUGUCUGUGCGAAAGGUGAAUACUGCUUUGGAUGCGCUAGAUGGUGGGUUCGCGAUGCAGACGAAAUGGUUUUCUUCCACCCGUCUUGAAACACGGACCAAGGAGUCUAACAUAUAUGCGAGUAUUUGGGUGACAAACCCUGAUGCGUAAUGAAAGUAAAGAGCCGCAAGGCUUGAGGUAGGAAUCUCGCCCUCGGGUGGGAGGCACUAUCGACCGAUCGUUCGCUUGCGGAAGAUUUGAGUAAUAGCAUAUCUGUUGGGACCCGAAAGAUGGUGAUCUAUGCCUGAACAGGGUGAAGCCAGGGGAAACUCUGGUGGAAGCUCGUAGCGAUACUGACGUGCAAAUCGUUCGUCUGAUUUGGGUAUAGGGGCGAAAGACUAAUCGAACCAUCUAGUAGCUGGUUCCCUC